Molecule: ribosomal RNA, 253 nt
Filed under: uncultured bacterium
Lineage: Bacteria
Description: partial 16S ribosomal RNA
Rfam family: Bacterial small subunit ribosomal RNA
Source: RNAcentral
UACGUAGGGUGCAAGCGUUGUCCGGAAUUAUUGGGCGUAAAGGGCUCGUAGGCGGUUUGUCGCGUCGGGAGUGAAAACCUUGGGCUUAACUCAGGGCUUGCUUUCGAUACGGGCAGACUAGAGGUAUGCAGGGGAGAACGGAAUUCCUGGUGUAGCGGUGAAAUGCGCAGAUAUCAGGAGGAACACCGGUGGCGAAGGCGGUUCUCUGGGACGGUACUGACGCUGAGACGCGAAAGCGUGGGGAGCGAACAGG